This 255-nucleotide ribosomal RNA is filed under the name uncultured bacterium. Its description in RNAcentral is "partial 16S ribosomal RNA". It matches the Rfam family "Bacterial small subunit ribosomal RNA", at positions 793 to 1055 of the family's 1533-position model. The record is from RNAcentral.
GUCCACGCCGUAAACGAUGGAUACUAGCUGUUGGGCGCAAGUUCAGUGGCUAAGCGAAAGUGAUAAGUAUCCCACCUGGGGAGUACGUUCGCAAGAAUGAAACUCAAAGGAAUUGACGGGGGCCCGCACAAGCGGUGGAGCAUGUGGUUUAAUUCGAUGAUACGCGAGGAACCUUACCAAGGCUUAAAUGUAGAUUGACCGAUUUGGAAACAGAUCUUUCGCAAGACAAUUUACAAGGUGCUGCAUGGUUGUCGU